UACGGAAGGUCCAGGCGUUAUCCGGAUUUAUUGGGUUUAAAGGGAGCGCAGGCGGGUGCUUAAGCGUGCUGUGAAAUGUACCGGCUCAACCGGUGAGUUGCAGCGCGAACUGGGUGCCUUGAGUGUAUUCGAUGUCAGCGGAACUCGUGGUGUAGCGGUGAAAUGCUUAGAUAUCACGAAGAACCCCGAUUGCGAAGGCAGCUGACAAGUCUAUUACUGACGCUAAAGCUCGAAGGUGCGGGUAUCGAACAGG
This 253-nucleotide ribosomal RNA is filed under the name uncultured bacterium. RNAcentral describes it as "partial 16S ribosomal RNA". It matches the Rfam family "Bacterial small subunit ribosomal RNA", at positions 524 to 776 of the family's 1533-position model. The record is from RNAcentral.